Molecule: ribosomal RNA, 497 nt
Filed under: uncultured bacterium
Lineage: Bacteria
Description: partial 16S ribosomal RNA
Rfam family: Bacterial small subunit ribosomal RNA
Source: RNAcentral
GAUGAACGCUGGCGGCGUGCCUAAUACAUGCAAGUCGAGCGAACAGACGAGGAGCUUGCUCCUUUGACGUUAGCGGCGGACGGGUGAGUAACACGUAGGUAACCUACCUAUAAGACUGGGAUAACUUCGGGAAACCGGACCUAAUACCGGAUAAUAUUUCGAACCGCAUGGUUCGAUAGUGAAAGAUGGCUUUGCUAUCACUUAUAGAUGGACCUGCGCCGUAUUAGCUAGUUGGUAAGGUAACGGCUUACCAAGGCAACGAUACGUAGCCGACCUGAGAGGGUGAUCGGCCACACUGGAACUGAGACACGGUCCAGACUCCUACGGGAGGCAGCAGUAGGGAACCUUCCGCAAUGGGCGAAAGCCUGACGGAGCAACGCCGCGUGAGUGAUGAAGGUCUUCGGAUCGUAAAACUCUGUUAUUAGGGAAGAACAAACGUGUAAGUAACUGUGCACGUCUUGACGGUACCUAAUCAGAAAGCCACGGCUAACUACGUG